This 253-nucleotide ribosomal RNA is filed under the name uncultured bacterium. RNAcentral's name for it is "partial 16S ribosomal RNA". It matches the Rfam family "Bacterial small subunit ribosomal RNA", at positions 524 to 776 of the family's 1533-position model. The record is from RNAcentral.
UACAGAGGUCUCAAGCGUUGUUCGGAUUCAUUGGGCGUAAAGGGUGCGUAGGCGGCGCGGUAAGUCGGGUGUGAAAGCCCAGAGCUUAACUCCGGAACUGCCUUUAAGACUGCAUCGCUAGAAUCGUGGAGAGGUGAGUGGAAUUCCGAGUGUAGAGGUGAAAUUCGUAGAUAUUCGGAAGAACACCAGUGGCGAAGGCGGCUCACUGGACCGGCAUUGACGCUGAGGUACGAAAGCGUGGGGAGCAAACAGG